GCUGGGCACAGUGACUCACGCCUGUAAUCUCGGUGCUUUGGAAGGCUGAGGCAGGCAGACUGCUGAGCCCAGGAGAUGGGGGCUGUAGUGCGCUAAGAUUGGCAUCAAUAUGGUGACCUCUUGGGGGAGGCAACCACUAGGUCGCCUAAGGAGGAGCUAACUGGCCCAGGUUGGAAACAGAGCAUGUCAGAAGUCCCACAGUGAUCAGUAGUGGGGUCCUUCCUGUGAACAGCCAGUGAGCUCCAGCCUGGGCAACAUAGUGAGACCCUGUCUCUA
Callithrix jacchus (white-tufted-ear marmoset) is the source of this 276-nucleotide non-coding RNA. The record is from Rfam. Lineage: Eukaryota; Metazoa; Chordata; Mammalia; Primates; Cebidae.